This 772-nucleotide ribosomal RNA is filed under the name uncultured Neocallimastigales. RNAcentral's name for it is "partial large subunit ribosomal RNA". It matches the Rfam family "Eukaryotic large subunit ribosomal RNA", at positions 22 to 635 of the family's 3401-position model. Lineage: Eukaryota; Fungi; Neocallimastigomycota; Neocallimastigomycetes; Neocallimastigales. The record is from RNAcentral.
UACACGCUGUGACUAGCAUAUCAAUAAGCGGAGGAAAAGAAACUAACAGGGAUUCCCCUAGUAACGGCGAGUGAAGCGGGAAGAGCUCAAAUUUGAAAUCUUAAAGGGUUUCCCUUUACGAAUUGUAGUUUAAAGAAGUGUUUUCUGUUGAGGUUUUGGUAAAAGUUCUUUGGAAUAGGACAUCAUAGAGGGUGAGAAUCCCGUAUUUGACCUUUACUUUCAACUUUGUGAUACACUUUCAAAGAGUCGGAUUGUUUGGGAAUGCAGUCCAAAAUGGGUGGUAAAUUUCAUCUAAAGCUAAAUAUUGGCGAGAGACCGAUAGCGAACAAGUACCGUGAGGGAAAGAUGAAAAGAACUUUGAAAAGAGAGUUAAACAGUACGUGAAAUUGUCAAGAGGGAAGCGUUUGACACCAGUGUUGUUUUUCUGAAAAUCAAUUAAAGAACUGUUUAUGCUAAGCUGUUUAGACUUUAUCAGCUAUCUGUUUAGUUUUGAGCUUUUCUUUAAUGCACUUUUCAGUUAACAAGUCAACAUCAAUUUCUUUUGCUGUAAAAAGCUUGAGGAAGGUGGCUUGAGAUUCGUCUUAAGUGUUUAUAGCCUCUUGCCUAUGCAGUCGGAGAGAUUGAGGUCUGCAGCGUAGAUCCUUCGGGGCUAAAUGCAUUUGUGCUAAGUUAUAGCAUUUUAUAGACAACUUGUUGACUAUGAUUUGUCUUGUAGCUUACUCGCUUAUGUUAUUUUACCUACGCUUAGGAUGUUGAAGAUGUAGCACAUCAU